Molecule: ribosomal RNA, 497 nt
Filed under: uncultured bacterium
Lineage: Bacteria
Description: partial 16S ribosomal RNA
Rfam family: Bacterial small subunit ribosomal RNA
Source: RNAcentral
GAUGAACGCUGGCGGCGUGCCUAAUACAUGCGAGUCGAGCGAACAGACGAGGAGCUUGCUCCUCUGACGUUAGCGGCGGACGGGUGAGUAACACGUGGAUAACCUACCUAUAAGACUGGGAUAACUUCGGGAAACCGGAGCUAAUACCGGAUAAUAUAUUGAACCGCAUGGUUCAAUAGUGAAAGACGGUUUUGCUGUCACUUAUAGAUGGAUCCGCGCCGCAUUAGCUAGUUGGUAAGGUAACGGCUUACCAAGGCAACGAUGCGUAGCCGACCUGAGAGGGUGAUCGGCCACACUGGAACUGAGAAACGGUCCAGACUCCUACGGGAGGCAGCAGUAGGGAAUCUUCCGCAAUGGGCGAAAGCCUGACGGAGCAACGCCGCGUGAGUGAUGAAGGUCUUAGGAUCGUAAAACUCUGUUAUUAGGGAAGAACAAAUGUGUAAGUAACUAUGCACGUCUUGACGGUACCUAAUCAGAAAGCCACGGCUAACUACGUG